RNAcentral lists this ribosomal RNA (122 nucleotides) under Thermoplasmata archaeon. The record is from RNAcentral. Lineage: Archaea; Methanobacteriati; Thermoplasmatota; Thermoplasmata.
GCUGACGGCCAUAGCGGCGGGGAAACACCCGUUCCCAUCCCGAACACGGAAGUUAAGCCCGCCAGCGUUCCCUGUUGUACUGUGGUGCGCGAGCCCACGGGAAGCAGGGAUCGCUGUCAGCC